UGUCCUGAUGAUACUUGUAAUAGGAAGUGCCGUCAGAAGCGAUAACUGACGAAGACUACUCCUGUCUGAUU
Nomascus leucogenys (northern white-cheeked gibbon) is the source of this 71-nucleotide small nucleolar RNA. RefSeq annotates it as small nucleolar RNA SNORD49. NCBI's taxonomy places the organism in Eukaryota, Metazoa, Chordata, Mammalia, Primates, Hylobatidae. The record is from RefSeq and is a predicted model, not a curated record.